GCCGACCGGCCCGGCUUCCUCGGCACCGGCGGCUUCGGCCCGCUGGACAACGUCAGCGUGCUGGAGCGCUGGGAGGGCG
This 79-nucleotide transfer RNA is filed under the name Streptomyces finlayi. Its description in RNAcentral is "tRNA-Arg". RNAcentral also lists the same sequence under 1 other name. The record is from RNAcentral. Lineage: Bacteria; Bacillati; Actinomycetota; Actinomycetes; Kitasatosporales; Streptomycetaceae.